Molecule: small nucleolar RNA, 120 nt
Filed under: Echinops telfairi (small Madagascar hedgehog)
Lineage: Eukaryota; Metazoa; Chordata; Mammalia; Afrosoricida; Tenrecidae
Description: Small nucleolar RNA SNORA44 (ENSETEG00000024883.1)
Rfam family: Small nucleolar RNA SNORA44
About the family: ACA44 is a member of the H/ACA class of snoRNA that guide the sites of modification of uridines to pseudouridines.
Source: RNAcentral
GCACAUGUUCCCAAGGUCUGUGGCUGGUGUGACCAUCUGAUCUUCAACUGCAUGCAAGAGCAACUGUGACAGCUCAGGUCCGCAAAGGAUCUGCAGCUGCCACUCGCCUUUCCUAUACAA